GAUGAACGCUGGCGGCGUGCCUAAUACAUGCAAGUCGAGCGAACAGACGAGGAGCUUGCUCCUCUGACGUUAGCGGCGGACGGGUGAGUAACACGUGGAUAACCUACCUAUAAGACUGGGAUAACUUCGGGAAACCGGAGCUAAUACCGGAUAACAUGUUGAACCGCAUGGUUCAACAGUGAAAGACGGUCUUGCUGUCACGUAUAGAUGGAUCCGCGCCGCAUUAGCUAGUUGGUAAGGUAACGGCUUACCAAGGCAACGAUGCGUAGCCGACCUGAGAGGGUGAUCGGCCACACUGGAACUGAGACACGGUCCAGACUCCUACGGGAGGCAGCAGUAGGGAAUCUUCCGCAAUGGGCGAAAGCCUGCCGGAGCAACGCCGCGUGAGUGAAGAAGGUCUUCGGAUCGUAAAACUCUGUUAUUAGGGAAGAACAAAUGUGUAAGUAACUAUGCACGUCUUGACGGUACCUAAUCAGAAAGCCACGGCUAACUACGUG
This 497-nucleotide ribosomal RNA is filed under the name uncultured bacterium. RNAcentral's name for it is "partial 16S ribosomal RNA". It matches the Rfam family "Bacterial small subunit ribosomal RNA", at positions 28 to 507 of the family's 1533-position model. The record is from RNAcentral.